This is a non-coding RNA of Schistocephalus solidus, 83 nucleotides long. NCBI's taxonomy places the organism in Eukaryota, Metazoa, Platyhelminthes, Cestoda, Diphyllobothriidea, Diphyllobothriidae. The record is from Rfam.
GGCCUCGAAGCUCAGUUGGUAAGAGCGUUGGCUGUACUAAAGCCUACCCCUUGCUGGUGCGGGUUCGAAUCCCACCGAGGCCA